GUGGAGGAUGAAGGCGUAAGGUUGUAAACUCCUGUUAGAGGAGAAGAACAGUACCGGAUUGGAUCGGUAUUUGACUGUACCCUCAGAGAAAGCCCCGGCUAACUACGUGCCAGCAGCCGCGGUAAUACGUAGGGGGCAAGCGUUGUCCGGAUUUACUGGGUGUAAAGGGCGCGCAGGCGGAAUGGCAAGUCAGAGGUGAAAUCCUACAGCAUAACUGUAGAACUGCCUUUGAUACUGCUAUUCUUGAGUUCGGGAGAGAGAGACGGAAUUCCAGGUGUAGUGGUGAAAUACGUAGAUACCUGGAAGAACACCAGUUGCGAAGGCGGUCUCUUGGUCCGAUACUGACGCUGAGGCGCGAAAGCGUGGGGAGCAAACAGGAUUAGAUCCCUGGUAGUCCACGCUGUAAACGAUGAAUACUAGGUGUUGGGUUUU
This 432-nucleotide ribosomal RNA is filed under the name uncultured bacterium. RNAcentral's name for it is "bacterial SSU rRNA". It matches the Rfam family "Bacterial small subunit ribosomal RNA", at positions 401 to 831 of the family's 1533-position model. The record is from RNAcentral.